CCUACGGGGGGCAGCAGUGGGGAAUAUUGCACAGUGGGGGAAACCCUGAUGCAGCGACGCCGCGUGAGCGAAGAAGUAUUUCGGUAUGUAAAGCUCUAUCAGCAGGGAAGAAAAUGACGGUACCUGAGUAAGAAGCUCCGGCUAAAUACGUGCCAGCAGCCGCGGUAAUACGUAUGGAGCAAGCGUUAUCCGGAUUCACUGGGCGUAAAGGGAGCGCAGGCGGCACGGCAAGUCUGGUGUGAAAGCCCGGGGCCCAACCCCGGGACUGCAUUGGAAACUGCCGGGCUGGAGUGCCGGAGGGGUAG
Molecule: ribosomal RNA, 305 nt
Filed under: uncultured bacterium
Lineage: Bacteria
Description: bacterial SSU rRNA
Rfam family: Bacterial small subunit ribosomal RNA
Source: RNAcentral